Molecule: transfer RNA, 74 nt
Filed under: Otolemur garnettii (small-eared galago)
Lineage: Eukaryota; Metazoa; Chordata; Mammalia; Primates; Galagidae
Rfam family: tRNA
About the family: Transfer RNA (tRNA) molecules are approximately 80 nucleotides in length. Their secondary structure includes four short double-helical elements and three loops (D, anti-codon, and T loops). Further hydrogen bonds mediate the characteristic L-shaped molecular structure. tRNAs have two regions of fundamental functional importance: the anti-codon, which is responsible for specific mRNA codon recognition, and the 3' end, to which the tRNAs corresponding amino acid is attached (by aminoacyl-tRNA synthetases). tRNAs cope with the degeneracy of the genetic code in two manners: having more than one tRNA (with a specific anti-codon) for a particular amino acid; and 'wobble' base-pairing, i.e. permitting non-standard base-pairing at the 3rd anti-codon position.
Source: Rfam by way of RNAcentral
GCACCUGUGGCUCAAAGGAGUAGGGUGCUGGCCCCAUAUGCCAGAGCUGGCUGGUUCAAAUCCAGCCUUGGCCA